RNAcentral lists this long non-coding RNA (750 nucleotides) under Helianthus annuus (common sunflower). RNAcentral describes it as "sRNA HanXRQr2_Chr12g0521991". Lineage: Eukaryota; Viridiplantae; Streptophyta; Magnoliopsida; Asterales; Asteraceae. The record is from RNAcentral.
UUUAAUGAAACUCUGGAACACAACUAAAAAUUAUUUCUUUCCAAAUCUUUUCUUUACUCUCAUUUAAUGAAACUCGGGAACAUAGCGUAAAUGAAACUCUGGAAGACAAAAUGUUUUUACUUUCUUUUUUUUUUUGCUGAUGUGGCAUCUGACGUGGCAUCUGACAUGGUUUUUCGCUGACGUGGCAUCUAAUGUGUCACUUGUUCAGUGACGACGAGGCAUCUGACGUCAGCCAACUGGGUUAGGGUUUAGUUAGUUUGGGAGUGCCGGAGAAAAAUAAGUUGAAAGUUGAGAGUGUUGUGGUACAAAUCGAAAGUUGGGAGUGCUAUCGGCCAAUUGGUGAAAGUUGGGGUUAUUUCCAAUAUCCCUUGAUUUUUAACACUUUUAACAAUGCAAAUAUGUCCCAACACCAGUUAAAGUAGAAAAUAUAAUUACUAUGGAAUUUGUGACAAGUUCUAUUUCAGAGACGAUUUUCGUAUAUUAAAAAACAUUUGGACAUGUGAUAGAUAGUCAAGCCACUUACCUUAAUUCUUGUCAUACAUUGUAAUCAUCAUGGAAUGAGAAGCAUACUCGUAUUAUAGAAAGACUUACCUUAGGAACUGGUGGUGGCUUGGUAUUACAUGCUUUACACUGUGUUCCAGAGUUUACUAACAGAAGGAAAGGAAAAGAAACAAAGAGAAAGUAAAAAUAUUUUGUGUUCCCGAGUUUCAUUUAAGGAAGGAAAAGAAAGGAAAAUAAAACAUGUCGUGU